This 913-nucleotide ribosomal RNA is filed under the name uncultured bacterium. RNAcentral describes it as "bacterial SSU rRNA". It matches the Rfam family "Bacterial small subunit ribosomal RNA", at positions 342 to 1246 of the family's 1533-position model. The record is from RNAcentral.
CGGGAGGCAGCAGUGGGGAAUAUUGGACAAUGGGCGCAAGCCUGAUCCAGCCAUACCGCGUGGGUGAAGAAGGCCUUCGGGUUGUAAAGCCCUUUUGUUGGGAAAGAAAAGCCUUCGGUUAAUACCCGGGUGUUCUGACGGUACCCAAAGAAUAAGCACCGGCUAACUUCGUGCCAGCAGCCGCGGUAAUACGAAGGGUGCAAGCGUUACUCGGAAUUACUGGGCGUAAAGCGUGCGUAGGUGGUGGUUUAAGUCCGUUGUGAAAGCCCUGGGCUCAACCUGGGAAUUGCAGUGGAUACUGGAUCACUAGAGUGUGGUAGAGGAUAGUGGAAUUUCCGGUGUAGCAGUGAAAUGCGUAGAGAUCGGAAGGAACACCUGUGGCGAAGGCGACUAUCUGGGCCAACACUGACACUGAGGCACGAAAGCGUGGGGAGCAAACAGGAUUAGAUACCCUGGUAGUCCACGCCCUAAACGAUGCGAACUGGAUGUUGGGUUCAACUUGGAACCCAGUAUCGAAGCUAACGCGUUAAGUUCGCCGCCUGGGGAGUACGGUCGCAAGACUGAAACUCAAAGGAAUUGACGGGGGCCCGCACAAGCGGUGGAGUAUGUGGUUUAAUUCGAUGCAACGCGAAGAACCUUACCUGGUCUUGACAUCCACGGAACUUUCCAGAGAUGGAUUGGUGCCUUCGGGAACCGUGAGACAGGUGCUGCAUGGCUGUCGUCAGCUCGUGUCGUGAGAUGUUGGGUUAAGUCCCGCAACGAGCGCAACCCUUGUCCUUAGUUGCCAGCACGUAAAGGUGGGAACUCUAAGGAGACCGCCGGUGACAAACCGGAGGAANGNGGGGAUGACGUCAAGUCAUCAUGGCCCUUACGACCAGGGNUACACACGUACUACAAUGGUCAGGACAGANGG